CUUCCUGAUCUGAUGCGUAGCAUUUGCUGCAUGAGUGAAUUCCGGAGUAUAGGUUUGCCCUGGCAAAUGUAUACACCUCAUGCUAGCCUCAUGAAACUGGAAUAAGCCUUUGAAAAGAAAUUUGUCCUUGAAGCUUGUAUCUAAUAUCAGCACCGGAUUGUAGAACUUGUUGCUAAUCUUGACCUUGUAUCCAAGUUAACUGUUCCCUUGGUAUAUGUUUAAUACCCUGUACAUAUCUUUGAUUUAAACCCUUAGCACAUGCGGCUCAGUCAGUUCGUGGCUGAGGUUGAGAUCACGUUGAUGGAAGAGAAAUCCAUUGAUUGGAGAAUCUGCAAGACCAUGAGGCUCUUGAUCUGUGCAGGGUAUUAAUGUCUAAGAGCUGCCUAUUCCAGGAUUUCUCUGGAGGCUGACAAGAGUCCUGAAUGAGUUGUCAUUUCUGUCUUGCCGGUCUAACAGGGUUGGGAAGGUCCGAGCCUCAAGACCCACUUUUCCUUUCUUACCUGAUGUUUUCCUGCCAGAACACCGUGGGUUGUUAAUUGCCUUGAGUUGGAAAACGGUUUGCAUUUACAACUGUAAAUUUAUUCAUCCUUUUAAUUUAUGUAAGGUU
This is a non-coding RNA of Callorhinus ursinus (northern fur seal), 607 nucleotides long. NCBI's taxonomy places the organism in Eukaryota, Metazoa, Chordata, Mammalia, Carnivora, Otariidae. The record is from RefSeq and is a predicted model, not a curated record.